This is a non-coding RNA of Heterocephalus glaber (naked mole-rat), 74 nucleotides long. NCBI's taxonomy places the organism in Eukaryota, Metazoa, Chordata, Mammalia, Rodentia, Bathyergidae. The record is from Rfam.
CUCCACGGAACAUUCAACGCUGUCGGUGAGUUUGGGAUUUAAAAAAACCACUGACCGUUGACUGUACCUUGGGG